This 253-nucleotide ribosomal RNA is filed under the name uncultured bacterium. RNAcentral's name for it is "partial 16S ribosomal RNA". It matches the Rfam family "Bacterial small subunit ribosomal RNA", at positions 334 to 601 of the family's 1533-position model. The record is from RNAcentral.
GCUUCCUACGGGGCGCAGCAGUGGGGAAUAUUGCACAAUGGGGGAAACCCUGAUGCAGCAACGCCGCGUGAGUGAAGAAGUAUUUCGGUAUGUAAAGCUCUAUCAGCAGGGCAGAAAGAAAUGACGGUACCUGAGUAAGAAGCCCCGGCUAACUACGUGCCAGCAGCCGCGGUAAUGCGUAGGGGGCAAGCGUUAUCCGGAAUUACUGGGUGUAAAGGGAGCGUAGACGGUAAUGCUAGUCUGGAGUGAAAGG